CUGCCUAUUUUUGCUCUCUUCCUAUAUGCAUGUGUUGCUAGAGGAUUAUGUAUGUAUUAUUGUUAAGAACUCAAGGGAUGGUGAAUUCAAUAUUGGUCGAUAUAGUGAAGAUAUUUGGGGCUGUUUUGGAACUUUUUUAUGUGUAUAUGUUGGGCUGCUUAAUUGAUGUUAGGAAAAGGUGUGAAUAGUUUGUUUUAAAAUGUAGAAGGAGGGUAUAGUAAUACAGCACCA
Molecule: long non-coding RNA, 231 nt
Filed under: Capsicum annuum
Lineage: Eukaryota; Viridiplantae; Streptophyta; Magnoliopsida; Solanales; Solanaceae
Description: long non-coding RNA (CANN_LNC000931)
Source: RNAcentral